GGGCCGCUCUCUGCCAGGCUUAGCUCGGGUCAAGGGCGCAGGGCCGGGAGAGGAUGUUGGCCGCGGCCCCCGACGCCAAGUGGGCACGGAUUGCCACUGGCGACAGGUAGAUUUCUCUCUCUGGGAAAUCUGCCAAACGCUUUUCUAAAGCUCCCAGCGUGUCCUCUGCCUGCAGCCCCUACCCUACGCCCCCCAGCUCAGGCGCCUCGCUCCAGGCAGGUCGCCUCUGGGCCUUUGCACAGAACGUCCGGUUGUCGCUGGCGUCGCCCACUGUGAACUGGCCCUAGAUUCUCCCAGACCCAGAAUAGUGCUCCUGCUUUACGCACCGCACGCAGCCUCUGCAGUGCAACCCGAGCUGCCUGGGACCUAGGACCGACCCCUCCCUGCGAGGACCCCGGCUCGGCUGGCCUGCACAGGAGCCUGGCUCCGCGCUGGUUACACCAGUCACCGCCAGGCGGCGCGCGCCCCAGCUGACCUCGUUAGCGAUGUCUCUCCUUGUGAUCCCCACUCUGAGCCCCAGCCCAGCGCUGGGCAGUUUGUGCCGACAGCUGGGGGAAGACUUCCAUGUGCUAAUGAACUCCGUAGGUCGUCGGCAGCCAGAGAAACCCACCGCAAAUAACAGCGCAAGCCCGAUUCGCCAGCUGAUGAUGAGGCCCUGGAUGAAAGCUAGGAAUUCGAGCCCCUGCUGCUGGAGGGAGGCUGGCGUCUUCAAGAGCACCUACUGAAAAAUUGGUCGUGUCCAGUGACUGAGCAGUCCUCAUGCUGGCCCGAAGCCCAGCCAGGAUCCUCCUGAGUCCCCGGAGGGAGCAAAGACAGGGCAGCUGAAUGACCACAGACGAGCCCAGCCCCGCAACUCGAAAGCCUUCACAAUGCGUGCUCCUCGGGCCUCCACCAGACGACAUCGAGCCUCAGUUUGGACUCACAUGUGUGCGUGCGAACAGUUCUUCGUCCCAUCGGAGCAUGAGGCUCUCACGGCAGAGGAAGCCGACGUGGUGUGACCCCUGCUGCUGUCCGGCCACCAUACAGCACUGGUUCCCCAGGUUUCUUAACUAGAGCAGAGGAGGGGGCAGGCAUUCCUAUCACCUGGGUCCUGUGUCCCCGUGUCCCCGUGGAGAGGCACGGUGGGCUGUCACUCAGCUUGAUUACAUGGUGGCCGGGCCACUGGCUGACUCGCAAGAGGGGCCACGACUGGGAAACGUGUAACCUCCGCCCAGACAACUGGAAGUAAUUCUGGAGGAGGAGCGGCUUGGUCUGAACUGGGAAAGAAGGCGGACUAUCAGUCUUGCUGUUUGGAGGCUCAACCUGGAGCACAGGAGAAGGUCUGGGAAGCCCUGCUGGGCCCCCAGCAGCGGAGACGCGCUGGUCGUUAGUGCCUGAAAGCCUCCCUUUUUCCCAAGGCUGAUGAGGUGCCCCUGUACCAGGCUGCGCUUUGCAGCUCCAACCAGGCUCAAGUUAGCACGAGCUCCCAAGCGCUGGGCCUGAAUUCGACAUAGCCCAGAGCACCUUUCUUUCGAGGCCCUGGAAGAGCAAGAUUCCUGGGGAGAGAACGGCCUGUAUCACCCCCAGGACCAGAGCUGCCCAGAGUGCUGAAGGUCACAGCGCACCUUCCCGCCUGUCCGCAGCAUCCAAGCCGCCCUCAUGCAAGGCCACCACACAGGCUCCCUGGGUGGCGUGACCACCCGUGUCCAGGUCCAGGCUGUGGUGUGUUGUUCACACCAGGCAUGGGAGCUUCUGAGAAGGUGGAAGUGGGGUCCUUCAGCAGACCGGCCACAGGGGGUCACGUCCAGUUCAGGGUGACACGUCUGUCCUUGCCCCGGGACGUGUUGGCAGGCUUCCCU
This 1838-nucleotide long non-coding RNA is filed under the name Sus scrofa (pig). Its description in RNAcentral is "lncRNA (ENSSSCG00025059508.1)". Lineage: Eukaryota; Metazoa; Chordata; Mammalia; Artiodactyla; Suidae. The record is from RNAcentral.